GGGAAUAUUGCACAAUGGGCGAAAGCCUGAUGCAGCAACGCCGCGUGAGUGAUGAAGGUCUUCGGAUUGUAAAGCUCUGUCUUUUGGGACGAUAAUGACGGUACCAAAGGAGGAAGCCACGGCUAACUACGUGCCAGCAGCCGCGGUAAUACGUAGGUGGCGAGCGUUGUCCGGAUUUACUGGGCGUAAAGGGUGCGUAGGCGGAUGUUUAAGUGAGAUGUGAAAUACCCGGGCUUAACUUGGGUGCUGCAUUUCAAACUGGAUAUCUAGAGUGCAGGAGAGGAGAAUGGAAUUCCUAGUGUAGCGGUGAAAUGCGUAGAGAUUAGGAAGAACACCAGUGGCGAAGGCGAUUCUCUGGACUGUAACUGACGCUGAGGCACGAAAGCGUGGGUAGCAAACAGGAUUAGAUACCCUGGUAGUCCACGCCGUAAACGAUGAGUACUAGGUGUAGGAGGUAUCGACCCCUUCUGUGCCGCAGUAAACACAUUAAGUACUCCGCCUGGGAAGUACGAUCGCAAGAUUAAAACUCUAAAGUGAAUUGACGGGGUC
RNAcentral lists this ribosomal RNA (549 nucleotides) under uncultured bacterium. RNAcentral's name for it is "partial 16S ribosomal RNA". It matches the Rfam family "Bacterial small subunit ribosomal RNA", at positions 357 to 920 of the family's 1533-position model. The record is from RNAcentral.